This 64-nucleotide transfer RNA is filed under the name bovine gut metagenome. It matches the Rfam family "tRNA", at positions 6 to 65 of the family's 71-position model. From Rfam's summary of the family: Transfer RNA (tRNA) molecules are approximately 80 nucleotides in length. Their secondary structure includes four short double-helical elements and three loops (D, anti-codon, and T loops). The record is from RNAcentral.
AUUAGCUCAGUUGGAUAGAGCAGGGGACUUCUAAUCCCAAGGUCAGCGGUUCGAAUCCGUUAUG